UUAAGCGACUAAGCGUACACGGUGGAUGCCCUGGCAGUCAGAGGCGAUGAAGGACGUGCUAAUCUGCGAAAAGCGCCGGCGAGGUGAUAUGAACCCUUGACCCGGCGAUGUCCGAAUGGGGAAACCCAGUGCAAUCCGUUGCACUAUCGUUAACUGAAUACAUAGGUUAACGAGGCGAACCGGGGGAACUGAAACAUCUAAGUACCCCGAGGAAAAGAAAUCAACCGAGAUUCCCCCAGUAGCGGCGAGCGAACGGGGAGCAGCCCGGAGUCUGAAUCAGCUUGUGUGUUAGUGGAACGGUCUGGAAAGUCCGACGGUACAGGGUGAUAGUCCCGUACACGAAAGCACACAUGCUGUGAACUCGAAGAGUAGGGCGGGACACGUGGUAUCCUGUCUGAAUAUGGGGGGACCAUCCUCCAAGGCUAAAUACUCCUGACUGACCGAUAGUGAACCAGUACCGUGAGGGAAAGGCGAAAAGAACCCCGGCGAGGGGAGUGAAAAAGAACCUGAAACCGUGUACGUACAAGCAGUGGGAGCCUCUUUAUGGGGUGACUGCGUACCUUUGUAUAAUGGGUCAGCGACUUAUAUUCUGUAGCAAGGUUAACCGUAUAGGGGAGCCGAAGGAAACCGAGUCUUAACUGGGCGUUAAGUUGCAGGGUAUAGACCCGAAACCCGGUGAUCUAGCCAUGGGCAGGUUGAAGGUUGGGUAACACUAACUGGAGGACCGAACCGACUAAUGUUGAAAAAUUAGCGGAUGAUCUGUGGCUGGGGGUGAAAGGCCAAUCAAACCGGGAGAUAGCUGGUUCUCCCCGAAAGCUAUUUAGGUAGCGCCUCGUGAACUCAUCUUCGGGGGUAGAGCACUGUUUCGGCUAGGGGGCCAUCCCGGCUUACCAACCCGAUGCAAACUACGAAUACCGAAGAAUGUUAUCACGGGAGACACACGGCGGGUGCUAACGUCCGUCGUGAAGAGGGAAACAACCCAGACCGCCAGCUAAGGUCCCAAAGUCAUGGUUAAGUGGGAAACGAUGUGGGAAGGCACAGACAGCCAGGAUGUUGGCUUAGAAGCAGCCAUCAUUUAAAGAAAGCGUAAUAGCUCACUGGUCGAGUCGGCCUGCGCGGAAGAUGUAACGGGCUAAACCAUGCACCGAAGCUGCGGCAGCGACGCUUAUGCGUUGUUGGGUAGGGAGCGUUCUGUAAGCCGUUGAAGGUGUCCUGUGAGGGGUGCUGGAGGUAUCAGAAGUGCGAAUGCUGACAUAAGUAACGAUAAAGCGGGUGAAAAGCCCGCUCGCCGGAAGACCAAGGGUUCCUGUCCAACGUUAAUCGGGGCAGGGUGAGUCGACCCCUAAGGCGAGGCCGAAAGGCGUAGUCGAUGGGAAACAGGUUAAUAUUCCUGUACUUGGUGUUACUGCGAAGGGGGGACGGAGAAGGCUAUGUCAGCCGGGCGACGGUUGUCCCGGUUUAAGCAUGUAGGCGGAGGUUCCAGGUAAAUCCGGUACCUUAUUAACGCUGAGGUGUGAUGACGAGGCACUACGGUGCUGAAGUGAUAAAUGCCCUGCUUCCAGGAAAAGCCUCUAAGCAUCAGGUAACACGAAAUCGUACCCCAAACCGACACAGGUGGUCAGGUAGAGAAUACCAAGGCGCUUGAGAGAACUCGGGUGAAGGAACUAGGCAAAAUGGUGCCGUAACUUCGGGAGAAGGCACGCUGAUGUGUAGGUGAAGUCCCUGCGGACGGAGCUGAAAUCAGUCGAAGAUACCAGCUGGCUGCAACUGUUUAUUAAAAACACAGCACUGUGCAAACACGAAAGUGGACGUAUACGGUGUGACGCCUGCCCGGUGCCGGAAGGUUAAUUGAUGGGGUUAGCGGCAACGCGAAGCUCUUGAUCGAAGCCCCGGUAAACGGCGGCCGUAACUAUAACGGUCCUAAGGUAGCGAAAUUCCUUGUCGGGUAAGUUCCGACCUGCACGAAUGGCGUAAUGAUGGCCAGGCUGUCUCCACCCGAGACUCAGUGAAAUUGAACUCGCUGUGAAGAUGCAGUGUACCCGCGGCAAGACGGAAAGACCCCGUGAACCUUUACUAUAGCUUGACACUGAACACUGGUCCUUGAUGUGUAGGAUAGGUGGGAGGCUUUGAAGCGUGGACGCCAGUCUGCGUGGAGCCAACCUUGAAAUACCACCCUUUAAUGGCUGGUGUUCUAACGUAGACCCGUAAUCCGGGUUGCGGACAGUGUCUGGUGGGUAGUUUGACUGGGGCGGUCUCCUCCCAAAGAGUAACGGAGGAGCACGAAGGUUGGCUAAUCCUGGUCGGACAUCAGGAGGUUAGUGCAAUGGCAUAAGCCAGCUUGACUGCGAGCGUGACGGCGCGAGCAGGUGCGAAAGCAGGUCAUAGUGAUCCGGUGGUUCUGAAUGGAAGGGCCAUCGCUCAACGGAUAAAAGGUACUCCGGGGAUAACAGGCUGAUACCGCCCAAGAGUUCAUAUCGACGGCGGUGUUUGGCACCUCGAUGUCGGCUCAUCACAUCCUGGGGCUGAAGUAGGUCCCAAGGGUAUGGCUGUUCGCCAUUUAAAGUGGUACGCGAGCUGGGUUUAGAACGUCGUGAGACAGUUCGGUCCCUAUCUGCCGUGGGCGCUGGAGAAUUGAGGGGGGCUGCUCCUAGUACGAGAGGACCGGAGUGGACGCAUCACUGGUGUUCGGGUUGUCAUGCCAAUGGCACUGCCCGGUAGCUAAAUGCGGAAGAGAUAAGUGCUGAAAGCAUCUAAGCACGAAACUUGCCCCGAGAUGAGUUCUCCCUGAGACCUUGAGUCUCCUGAAGGAACGUUGAAGACGACGACGUUGAUAGGUCGGGUGUGUAAGCGCAGCGAUGCGUUGAGCUAACCGAUACUAAUGAACCGUGAGGCUUAACCU
RNAcentral lists this ribosomal RNA (2899 nucleotides) under Enterobacter cloacae. RNAcentral's name for it is "23S ribosomal RNA". It matches the Rfam family "Bacterial large subunit ribosomal RNA". Lineage: Bacteria; Pseudomonadati; Pseudomonadota; Gammaproteobacteria; Enterobacterales; Enterobacteriaceae. The record is from RNAcentral.